This 240-nucleotide ribosomal RNA is filed under the name uncultured bacterium. RNAcentral's name for it is "partial 16S ribosomal RNA". It matches the Rfam family "Bacterial small subunit ribosomal RNA", at positions 118 to 354 of the family's 1533-position model. The record is from RNAcentral.
UGAGUAACCUGCCCCAGACUCUGGGAUAAGCACUGGAAACGGUGUCUAAUACCGGAUACGAACUUCAGCCGCAUGGCUAGGAGUUGGAAAGAAUUUCGGUCUGGGAUGGACUCGCGGCCUAUCAGCUUGUUGGUGAGGUAAUGGCUCACCAGGGCGACGGACGGGUAGCCGGCCUGAGGAGGGUGACCGGCCACACGUGGGACUGGAGGCACGGCCCAGACCUCCGUACGGGNGCAGCAG